This 464-nucleotide ribosomal RNA is filed under the name uncultured bacterium. RNAcentral's name for it is "partial 16S ribosomal RNA". It matches the Rfam family "Bacterial small subunit ribosomal RNA", at positions 339 to 795 of the family's 1533-position model. The record is from RNAcentral.
CUACGGGAUGCACCAGUGAGGAAUUUUGCGCAAUGGGGGAAACCCUGACGCAGCAACGCCGCGUGAGUGAUGAAGGCCUUCGGGUCGUAAAGCUCUGUCAAGUGGGAAGAACCCACCCUGCGCUAAUAUCACAGGGUGCUGACGGUACCACUGAAGGAAGCACCGGCUAACUCCGUGCCAGCAGCCGCGGUAAUACGGAGGGUGCAAGCGUUAUUCGGAAUUACGGGCGUAAAGGGCGCGUAGGCGGCUUUUUAAGUCAGAUGUGAAAUCCCGGGGCUCAACCCCGGAAGUGCCUCUGAAACUAAGAAGCUUGAGUAUGGGAGAGGGAAGUGGAAUUCCUGGUGUAGAGGUGAAAUUCGUAGAUAUCAGGAGGAACACCGGUGGCGAAGGCGACUUCCUGGACCAAUACUGACGCUGAGGCGCGAAGGCGUGGGGAGCAAACAGGAUUAGAUACCCCCGUAGUC